Saimiri boliviensis boliviensis (Bolivian squirrel monkey) is the source of this 458-nucleotide non-coding RNA. The record is from RefSeq and is a predicted model, not a curated record. NCBI's taxonomy places the organism in Eukaryota, Metazoa, Chordata, Mammalia, Primates, Cebidae.
GUGGUUCCAUAGGGAACGUGCUCAAAGAAACUGCCUUUAUCUCACCUAACGCAGAACUAUCCCGGAGCUCAGAAAAGGAGUCCAUUCAUCCUCUAUAAUCACUAUUAUACAUCUUUGUUAAAAUGCCAAGAAGAUUUAUUCUAAAAGAAGGCACCAAAGCAAUGGGGUUCAUCAGCUCAGGAUCCAGCAGCGUAAUACAGAAGCCUGUUACAAGAUAUAAGGUUCUUCGCCCUCAGAAAUGUCACUGUCGGAAUCCUUGGAAAUCACACCAUCCAUAACUUCUAUUUCUUUAUAAUUUGCAAAGAACCCAUGUGACUCCAGUCAAGAACAAAAGAUUAAUUGUGAAUUAGUGAAGAACUCUAAUUUUUUCAAGAGGCCACAUGGAAAAUGAAUUCUAAUGGAGUCCUUUCCAUUACUCUUAUUUCUUAGUUCUUCAAUAAAGCAUGCGAUUUGAUCAC